UACUCCAGUUACCCGGAUCCCCUGGGACCAGGAGCCCACCCGCAGCACCGUAACUAGCUGGUUUCCUUUGCAGGGUUGGUGUGGGAUUGGACACGGAGCCGGGGUGCGUGGAUAUGCUGACAGACGCCCUGGCGACCCCCAGUUAAGGAGGAAUUGGAGGGCAGAGGAUGCAUCUGGGAACAAAAGGUCCCAGCACGACAGACUGCCCCGCGGUCCCCGCGUCUCGGAACCCUCCCCGCAGCGCUCCCCACCUCUCUUUUCAUUUGAAACGUGGCAGUGGCACGUGCGAAGGCCGGACCGAACGGCAGCCCCGAAAGCCGAGGGCCAGCGACGCCCGAGCCGUCCGAGAAGGCGGGAGACUCCGGGCCGGAGCUGGAGGGCGCUCCCGGCUCCGCGGGCUCCCGGCGCGGCCCGCGCCCCCCCGCAGCGGCUGGAGCUGGGCUAUAAAUAGCGCGGGGCGGGGCGGGGCGGGGCGGGCGGGGGGAGGCUCCCGGCCCUCGGCUCCGCGGGGAAGCCGGCGCCGCGGGCCGCGUGAACCCCCGGCCGCCUCGUCCGUGCCGCCUCCCCCUCUGCCCCCGAGCUCGGGGUAACACCCGGGACUCGGCCUAGAGGCAGACGCGCGCACCCGCACCCGCACCCGCACCCGCAGGCGCGCACACGGGUGUUUGGGCCGUGUAUCCCCCUACCCACUCCCCUCCUUCCUUCGAACGGCUUCAACCCAAACCUUAAAAUUAAAGCCAUCCCCAAAUUUGGUCUUGGGGAUCUUGCUGGCUGUCGGAUUUCGGUGCAGCGUUCCCUCCCCCGCGCUGCUGCUGCUGCCGCUUAAGGACAGUUACUUGCCCCGGGAGGGAACGGUCAAGUGGAAGCUGUGUGUGGGCGUGCGUGUGUGUGCGCGCGUGUGUGCGCGUGUGGCUUCUUUGGGGCACAUGCACACCCCGCCGUAGCCUCCGGAUCGGCAGUCCCGCCGCCGGGGCUUGUCCCUGCCAGCCAAGGACUCCACAAGGAGGGAGUCCCCGGUCCCCGGCAGGGCAGCCUGCGAGCGGCUUCGGUGCUGGGCACGCUCGGGGCGGAGGAAGCCCGGCGAGGAGCGGGGUCCUCCCACGGAGGGGCCGGAGCUGCCCCCCGCCGCGCCCCCCGCCCGGCCCCCGCGCCCCCAGACCCGCCCCCCCCCCCCCCCGUGCUCUGCGCACCCGACUCCGGGAGGCGGAGGGAGGGGCGCGGCGCCCUCCCGGGCCGCGAGCGGUCACGGAAUCUGACACCCGGACAGGCAGCUGGUCCCCGGCCAGGACGCCCCGCGCCUUCUCAAAUGGAAACAGUCUCUCCCAGGGAACCUGCCCGAAUUCCCGGUGGAAUCUCACCUGAGCUUUGGCUCCUGGCGCAUUUCACCCAGGCCGCAUCUACCAUCACUUCGAGGCAAGGAAGGCCCCCGAUGGAGCGGGGCUCUUGGUGGCCGAACAAGGUAAGCUCUCGACUAAGGUGACAUUGACUGGGGGGGGGGGGGGGGGGGGGGGGGGAGACUGCUCGGAUUUAAUGGGGACCACCCUCUCCCAGGCAGGAUGGUGAAGUUAAGUUUGUCUUGGGCUGCCACUCCUCCCCUUCCCCCCUUCCGGGCCUCUUUCUGCUUUACCUUUCCCCCACCCCU
This 1642-nucleotide long non-coding RNA is filed under the name Canis lupus familiaris (dog). RNAcentral describes it as "lncRNA (ENSCAFG00845010728.1)". The record is from RNAcentral. Lineage: Eukaryota; Metazoa; Chordata; Mammalia; Carnivora; Canidae.